This 231-nucleotide ribosomal RNA is filed under the name uncultured bacterium. RNAcentral's name for it is "partial 16S ribosomal RNA". It matches the Rfam family "Bacterial small subunit ribosomal RNA", at positions 15 to 236 of the family's 1533-position model. The record is from RNAcentral.
GAUCAUGGCUCAGGAUGAACGCUAGCUACAGGCUUAACACAUGCAAGUCGAGGGGAAACGAUAUUGAAGCUUGCUUCCGAUAGGCGUCGACCGGCGCACGGGUGAGUAACGCGUAUCCAACCUGGCCCACCACUUGGGAUAACCUUGCGAAAGUAAGACUAAUACCCAAUGAUAUCUCUAGAAGGACAUCUGAAAGAGAUUAAAGAUUUAUCGGUGAUGGAUGGGAUGCGU